RNAcentral lists this ribosomal RNA (600 nucleotides) under uncultured bacterium. RNAcentral's name for it is "bacterial SSU rRNA". It matches the Rfam family "Bacterial small subunit ribosomal RNA", at positions 734 to 1338 of the family's 1533-position model. The record is from RNAcentral.
GUGUUACUGACGCUAAAGCUCGAAAGUGCGGGUAUCGAACAGGAUUAGAUACCCUGGUAGUCCGCACGGUAAACGAUGGAUGCCCGCUGUUUGCCCUUCGGGGUGAGUGGCUAAGCGAAAGCGUUAAGCAUCCCACCUGGGGAGUACGCCGGCAACGGUGAAACUCAAAGGAAUUGACGGGGGCCCGCACAAGCGGAGGAACAUGUGGUUUAAUUCGAUGAUACGCGAGGAACCUUACCCGGGCUUGAAUUGCAGAUGACGGAUCUAGAGAUAGUGACUUCCUUCGGGACAUCUGUGAAGGUGCUGCAUGGUUGUCGUCAGCUCGUGCCGUGAGGUGUCGGCUUAAGUGCCAUAACGAGCGCAACCCUUCUCUUCAGUUGCCAUCAGGUUAAGCUGGGCACUCUGGAGACACUGCCACCGUAAGGUGUGAGGAAGGUGGGGAUGACGUCAAAUCAGCACGGCCCUUACGUCCGGGGCUACACACGUGUUACAAUGGCCGGUACAGAAAGUCGGAUGCCCGUAAGGUCAUUCUAAUCAAGAAAGCCGGUCCCAGUUCGGACUGAGGUCUGCAACCCGACCUCACGAAGCUGGAUUCGCUAG